Molecule: transfer RNA, 74 nt
Organism: Robiginitalea biformata HTCC2501
Lineage: Bacteria; Pseudomonadati; Bacteroidota; Flavobacteriia; Flavobacteriales; Flavobacteriaceae
Rfam family: tRNA
About the family: Transfer RNA (tRNA) molecules are approximately 80 nucleotides in length.
Source: Rfam
CGGGAUGUAGUUCAGCCUGGUAGAAUACACGCAUGGGGUGCGUGUGGUCGCUGGUUCGAAUCCAGUCAUCCCGA